CACACACACAACCAAUAAACAAAUUUCAAAAAAAUUCUUUUGAAAGGGAGGGAAGGCAGGUACCUUCAACCCCAGCAAGUAGCAUUGCUAAAAACUUUGAACUAGGCCGGAGCACACGAAGACCGUAUUUCAUUUCUUAUUUUAAGGAAAUGUGAGAGGACCAGGUUUAAAGAGGUGUUCGAAGCUGUGCAUGGCGGCCGAUUUGUUCUCUUAGGAAGGUGUCUGGACACUUUCUCGGUGAUUUUUAUCCUCCUCCCUUUAUGAACACUUCCGAAAGCACAGAUGGCUUUAUUUAUCAUAUUCAUUUCUUGUUUAUUUUGAGACCGGGUCUCACUUUGUCGACCCUAGCCCUGGUUAGGCUAGAACUCUGUGUAGGACACACUGGACUCUUCUCCUGCCCCAUCUUCCUGAGAGCCAGGGUCACAGAAGGUGUGUGCCACAACCCCCAGUGGACACCGGGGCUUGCAAAGACAAAUGUACCAAUGGCGUUAAGAAGUGAGAGCUGGCAAGGUGUUGAAGGGCCGAACAACAUCCUACAAAUAUGCCAAGACCUUCAUUCACCCGUUCUUUCUCGCCUGUGAGGUCUCUGCA
Molecule: long non-coding RNA, 591 nt
Filed under: Rattus norvegicus (Norway rat)
Lineage: Eukaryota; Metazoa; Chordata; Mammalia; Rodentia; Muridae
Description: long non-coding RNA NONRATT008100
Source: RNAcentral